RNAcentral lists this ribosomal RNA (446 nucleotides) under uncultured bacterium. Its description in RNAcentral is "bacterial SSU rRNA". It matches the Rfam family "Bacterial small subunit ribosomal RNA", at positions 331 to 793 of the family's 1533-position model. The record is from RNAcentral.
CCAGACUCCUACGGGAGGCAGCAGUGGGGAAUAUUGCACAAUGGGGGAAACCCUGAUGCAGCGACGUCGCGUGAGUGAAGAAGUAUUUCGGUAUGUAAAGCUCUAUCAGCAGGAACGAGACAAGACGGUACCUGACUAAGAAGCCCCGGCUAACUACGUGCCAGCAGCCGCGGUAAUACGUAGGGGGCAAGCGUUAUCCGGAAUCACUGGGUGUAAAGGGAGCGUAGACGGCUGUGCAAGCCUGAAGUGAAAGGCGGGGGCCCAACCCCUGGACUGCUUUGGAAACUGUGCAGCUAGAGUGCAGGAGAGGUAAGUGGAAUUCCUAGUGUAGCGGUGAAGUGCGUAGAUAUUAGGAGGAACACCAGUGGCGAAGGCGGCUUACUGGACUGUAACUGACGUUGAGGCUCGAAAGCGUGGGGAGCAAACAGGAUUAGAUACCCCCGUAC